RNAcentral lists this ribosomal RNA (1346 nucleotides) under uncultured bacterium. RNAcentral describes it as "partial 16S ribosomal RNA". It matches the Rfam family "Bacterial small subunit ribosomal RNA", at positions 28 to 1381 of the family's 1533-position model. The record is from RNAcentral.
GACGAACGUUGGCGGCGUGCUUAACACAUGCAAGUCGAACGGAAAGGCCCUGCUUUUGUGGGGUGCUCGAGUGGCGAACGGGUGAGUAACACGUGAGUAACCUGCCCUUGACUUUGGGAUAACUUCAGGAAACUGGGGCUAAUACCGGAUAGGAGCUCCUGCUGCAUGGUGGGGGUUGGAAAGUUUCGGCGGUUGGGGAUGGACUCGCGGCUUAUCAGCUUGUUGGUGGGGUAGUGGCUUACCAAGGCUUUGACGGGUAGCCGGCCUGAGAGGGUGACCGGCCACAUUGGGACUGAGAUACGGCCCAGACUCCUACGGGAGGCAGCAGUGGGGAAUAUUGCACAAUGGGCGGAAGCCUGAUGCAGCAACGCCGCGUGCGGGAUGACGGCCUUCGGGUUGUAAACCGCUUUCGCCUGUGACGAAGCGUGAGUGACGGUAAUGGGUAAAGAAGCACCGGCUAACUACGUGCCAGCAGCCGCGGUGAUACGUAGGGUGCGAGCGUUGUCCGGAUUUAUUGGGCGUAAAGGGCUCGUAGGUGGUUGAUCGCGUCGGAAGUGUAAUCUUGGGGCUUAACCCUGAGCGUGCUUUCGAUACGGGUUGACUUGAGGAAGGUAGGGGAGAAUGGAAUUCCUGGUGGAGCGGUGGAAUGCGCAGAUAUCAGGAGGAACACCAGUGGCGAAGGCGGUUCUCUGGGCCUUUCCUGACGCUGAGGAGCGAAAGCGUGGGGAGCGAACAGGCUUAGAUACCCUGGUAGUCCACGCUGUAAACGGUGGGUACUAGGUGUGGGGUCCAUUCCACGGGUUCCGUGCCGUAGCUAACGCUUUAAGUACCCCGCCUGGGGAGUACGGCCGCAAGGCUAAAACUCAAAGGAAUUGACGGGGCCCCGCACAAGCGGCGGAGCAUGCGGAUUAAUUCGAUGCAACGCGUAGAACCUUACCUGGGUUUGACAUGGAUCGGGAGUGCUCAGAGAUGGGUGUGCCUCUUUUGGGGUCGGUUCACAGGUGGUGCAUGCCUGUCGUCAGCUCGUGUCGUGAGAUGUUGGGUUAAGUCCCGCAACGAGCGCAACCCUUGUUCACUGUUGCCAGCACGUUAUGGUGGGGACUCAGUGGAGACCGCCGGGGUCAACCCGGAGGAAGGUGGGGAUGACGUCAAGUCAUCAUGCCCCUUAUGUCCAGGGCUUCACGCAUGCUACAAUGGCUGGUACAGAGAGUGGCGAGCCUGUGAGGGUGAGCGAAUCUCGGAAAGCCGGUCUCAGUUCGGAUUGGGGUCUGCAACUCGACCUCAUGAAGUCGGAGUCGCUAGUAAUCGCAGAUCAGCAACGCUGCGGUGAAUACGUUCCCGGGGCU